AACGGUCUAUACCUGCGGUACCUGCGGAGGGAUCAUUAUUGAAUAAAAUUUGAGUUAGGUUGCUGCUGGCUUCUUUGAAGCAAUGGUGCACACCAACUUUCUUUUUAAAUUUUCCCCUGUGCACCCCCUGCAUGGAUCUGAAUGGGUCUUGAGGAAACUCAGUUUUGAGAACUGUUGUGCAAAGUAGGCCAACUCUUCUUAGCUUCAGAUUUAUGUUUUUAUUUAUUAACACACAUAUAU
This 240-nucleotide unclassified non-coding RNA is filed under the name soil metagenome. RNAcentral describes it as "partial contains 5.8S ribosomal RNA, internal transcribed spacer 2, and large subunit ribosomal RNA". The record is from RNAcentral.